Molecule: ribosomal RNA, 89 nt
Filed under: Gastrolobium celsianum
Lineage: Eukaryota; Viridiplantae; Streptophyta; Magnoliopsida; Fabales; Fabaceae
Source: RNAcentral
GGAUCCCAUCAGAACUCCGCAGUUAAGCUCGCUUGGGCGAGAGUAGUACUAGGAUGGGUGACCUCCUGGGAAGUCCUCGUGUUGCACCU